AUCAUGUUCAUACAUAGUAAAAUUACAAAUUACAUUAAAUUCUUCAAAAUCAUUAGUUAUCCAUCCAAGAAUCUUGAUCGCUCUUUAAGCCGCCAUCAAAUCUUGGCCAAAAUCUUCCCUUCCAAUCAACAAUUCACAUAGAUUAUAUCCAAAAACUGCUCGGCAACAUCCAUGCUUUCAAGGGGAUAUUGUGUACCAGGUCUGAAGAGUGCUUAGACGGAUGGCAAAGGCUGCAGCCAUUACAGCAACUGUACUCCAGGGUGUCUUGAAAGACACUUGCGCCGCCUCGGCCAUCGGCUGACCAGGUAGCAAUGGUGGUUCUAUUUUUAUGCUCGAAACAUCGUCCGCUUUUCGUUGACAUGAUCACAAAGGGUAGGAUUUGGAGCUAAGUUCGAGGCCGAUUCGCGAAACAACUGACACACCCUAUCAUCAACGAAGUUCCAAGUUCCCUGAGAAGUAUCUCGCAGGCUGAAAAGAAAUGCCUCUUACCCAGAUUGAGUUGUUAGGCUUCACGUUGAAUUGGAUUGAUUUAAGCUCACUCAGACUCCAUGGAGGGCACCAGCGUAGAGUUCCUUGAUCGGUACUGGAAAAUAAAUCCUUUGAACAACUUCUUCAUCUGGCCAAAUCCAUUCUAGAUGUCCCGUCAUUCACAUCCUUAAAAGUUCAAGCAGAUGAUUCGGCUUCCAUUUUUCAAUUUUAGGUAUGUUUUCCCUGCAGUAAUCCCCUGUCGAGUGUUAUGUAUUUUCAUGAAAUCAUUGAUCAAACAUUGGACAAUAUCUCUGAGAAGUUAUCUGUAUAAUAGAUUUGAGUUUGACAUAAUCACA
Molecule: long non-coding RNA, 824 nt
Filed under: Populus trichocarpa (black cottonwood)
Lineage: Eukaryota; Viridiplantae; Streptophyta; Magnoliopsida; Malpighiales; Salicaceae
Description: long non-coding RNA (PTRI_LNC001667)
Source: RNAcentral